Molecule: ribosomal RNA, 459 nt
Filed under: uncultured bacterium
Lineage: Bacteria
Description: partial 16S ribosomal RNA
Rfam family: Bacterial small subunit ribosomal RNA
Source: RNAcentral
CCUACGGGUGGCAGCAGUGAGGAAUAUUGGUCAAUGGCCGGAAGACUGAACCAGCCAAGCCGCGUGCAGGAUGAAGGCCCAGAGCGUCGCAGACCUCUUUUGCCGGGGGACAAAAUGCCUGACUCGUGCUGUCCUGAGGGUACCCCAUGAAAAAGCAUCGGCUAACUCCGUGCCAGCAGCCGCGGUAAUACGGAGGAUGCGGGCGUUAUCCGGAUUUAUUGGGUUUAAAGGGUGCGCAGGCGGGCGUUUAAGCGGGCGGUGAAAUCCCGGGGCUCAACCCCGCCGAGCCGGCGGAACUGGGGGGCUUGAGUGCGCCGGAGGUAUGCGGAAUGCGAGGUGGAGCGGUGAAAUGCAGAGAGAUCGCGCAGAACCCCGAUUGCGAAGGCAGCGUGCCGUGGCGCCACUGACGCUGAGGCACGAAAGCGCGGGGAUCGAACAGGAUUAGAUACCCGGGUAGUC